RNAcentral lists this non-coding RNA (30 nucleotides) under Homo sapiens (human). The record is from RNAcentral. Lineage: Eukaryota; Metazoa; Chordata; Mammalia; Primates; Hominidae.
UCAACAUGAACCAGUGCACAGAUGUGGUGU